RNAcentral lists this transfer RNA (75 nucleotides) under Candidatus Omnitrophota bacterium. Its description in RNAcentral is "Candidatus Omnitrophica bacterium (sediment metagenome) tRNA-Arg". It matches the Rfam family "tRNA". Rfam says of the family: Transfer RNA (tRNA) molecules are approximately 80 nucleotides in length. Their secondary structure includes four short double-helical elements and three loops (D, anti-codon, and T loops). The record is from RNAcentral. Lineage: Bacteria; Pseudomonadati; Candidatus Omnitrophota.
GUCCCCUUAGCUCAACGGAUAGAGCACGAGCCUCCGAAGCUUGGGAUGUGGGUUCGAUUCCCCCAGGGGGCGCCA